This is a long non-coding RNA of Zalophus californianus (California sea lion), 1939 nucleotides long. NCBI's taxonomy places the organism in Eukaryota, Metazoa, Chordata, Mammalia, Carnivora, Otariidae. The record is from Ensembl.
GAGACAUCGCGCGUGGGGCAGGAGCCUGCGACUGGCGAGACCAAGGAAACUCGCUGCCUGGGUGCUGGCUGGACCUAUCGGAAACUUAGGUCUCCCGCAGCCGGGUGGUCGCCAACUCGAUUUGCCCCAAGCCUGGGAGCGACUGAAUAGGGACCGAAGGAAACAGGAACCUUGCCACCCUUGGCCCACCCCGGAAUUUGUAGAUGAGCUUUCCAGGAGCGCUGUGCAAGGCGACAGCGGCGUGCAGACCCGCUUUGGGACAGGUACCGUUUCUAGAGCUGCGUCCUGCUCUCUUAAUUCUUCCAGUUGCUUCCUCCACCCCCACUUCCUUUGUGCAUACCUUCAGCCUCUGUUAUUUUCAUGACUUUUUUUUUUAAGAUUAUCUUUUUCCAAGCCCCACUUCUAUCAUAAUAUCAAAGCUGAGAACUAUUUCGACCUACAUUUUGAAGAAUCAGAAUGUUCACUUCUUUGCAAAAUAUGUAAACAUAUCUUUUUCUUGACUUGUAAGUCCCAAAUGGAUAUACUCAUUUAAGAGUAUUUGUGAAUAUGUAAACACAAUGUCAUGGAAUUCUUGACUUCUCUUUCUUGGAUUUCAAAUGUUACUUAACUGGUACUGAGUAUCUUUCAACUGCAGUUCUGAUAUUUUACUUUGAAGUACUCCAUUCCUUUACGUGGUAGGUAACAGUAUUUCCAAGCAAGGGGCAAAGCAAGUUUAAUUACAGGAAGACCCUAAGUGUUUUUCUGAAAAAAAUUAAGAUACAGGGUUUGGAAAACUUCCAAAUCAGGGAGACACUUUGUACUUUAAUACUUCUCAAGCUUUGAGAGAGUAGAUUUCCUUCUUUCUUUAACUAAGAAUUAUUUUUCCCCUUUCUGUUGGCAUAAAGACAAUUGUUAGUGAUUACAUUACCUAAAAGGGAAAUGAGUUUAAUAGUUGAAACAGCUUAACCUGAGAUCACAGAUCUUCAGCCUGAAUCUUUUUCCUACUGCAGGUUAUAAUCAUCUUCCUUUUCAAGAAGGCUCAAGCCAGUCUAAGAUCUGAGGCAGUGGUGAGCAGAUAACAAGACCCAAUUAUUCCUCCUUGGUGUGCUGAGCAACUUAAUCUUGAGGCAGAACUAACUCCUAUGUUAGUGCUCAAAAAACACAGGGUUGGGAUGCCUAAGGAUAAUUUAAUAAAUAUGAUUAAUGAUUCCAGAGCUCCAAGAGUUCUGUGAACUAACCCUCUGCCUCAAAACUGAAGUAAGAUGGUCUUCAAGUUUCAGAAAAUUCUGUCUUAACUUAACCUAAAUUCUUAAGGGCUUUUAAAUCCAUUUUUCCCUGUAGUUCUGCAUUUAGUCACUCUCCUUCCUUAUAAUUAAAAUAUUUGAAGAAACUGUUACCAUCUAGCCUUCUGUUCUUUAAACAUUUACUUUUCUCCCUUAUUUCCUAUUUUUCAAUUAGCUUUGCUUCUCUUCUGAACCCUUUCAUUAUUUUCAUGUCUUUUUCAUUGAAAGUCAAACCUAUCAAAAGACUUCCCACAUUAAAUAAAUUUCUGUUUUAUCCUUAAUGGAACACUGUGUUUGUUAUUAGUUACAUUUACUUGAGGUGGAGCUGCCAUAUCCCUUUUCUAACAUUUAGUAAGCCCCUCAGUUUCUGAAAACCAGUCACCCGGACUCUCUAAGUUAGGAUAGUGGUAGGAACCUUUGGGAAUCUCAGAGAUAACUAAGCUCUGAAGUCACUUAGCAUCUUGUUUCCUGUGGAGGACAGAGGCAGUACAGAAAUAAAAGCUAGUUCUUUCUUUGCAUGUUUGCCACCAAUUAGAAUUAAGAUUAGAAAUGUGAUACACAGAACCAGACCAGCGUAGUUGGUGUACAUCAUUAUCUGCAGCAAUGUUUUCAGGAGAAUCAUCGCCAAGCCCUGAUGUUCUUUUUAAAAGAAAAAUAAAACCUAUCUAAGCAAGAAC